UGUUGAUGUAAUGAUAUCCACCUUGCAAAAGCGUUUCAAUAUGCGGUUCUAUCCUUGGUGGGACCUUCGAGUCUCUUUAGGAUAUUAUCGCAUAUUGGGCGUGAAACUGAACAUAUACAUGGAGGUACAUAUAUACCUGGUGUAUCAUAUGUGCUAUCACCAUCGGUCUCAAGUAUCAUCUGUUCCAGGGGAGUAAUAUGGACUUCUACAAGUCACACGCUUGAUACAUUAGAAUCGGUUGUGCCCAAGUCUGUUAGGUAAGAUUUAUCACAUAAAAAGGAUAAAAUUAAGCUCUGUGUAUUUGCACAGCCUUAUACCUCGACCAAACAUGUAAAUUUUGUCAACAUCGUCGGCUACGGGUAUAAUCCGUUUGUUAGAGUCGUCAACAUUUGUCCCCUCCAUCGGGCCUGCAACACAUUCAGUCUCUUGGGAUAGUGUUUGACUUGUGAAGCAUAAUUUAUAGGUACAUGUGAUGAGGUCGUCUGAUCCGUUGGCUUGCUGUGUGGAGUCCCCAUAUGGAACUAUUAAAAAAAAGACAUGUCCAACAGACUCAGCCAGAUGAAGGCCGUCGAAGGUCACAAGGGCAGCUUGCUAUUCUACAUGACUUCAACACAUAAGGGAAGCUUGUUACAUUUACAGAAAGUCAUGAUGUUGGCAAUGGUAAGGGGGCGAAAUCAUGAAGGCAUGGUUUGUGUUGCAAGUCUGACAUACAUCUGCAUAAAACUCAGAGAAGUCAUGGUAAAAACUUGCUGUUAAGCGACGAUAUGGGCGUCAUAAAGAACUUCAGUCAUUUGAUUGAAGCGCAGAUCUGUACACGAAGACUGAGGGAGUCCUGGACUAGGGGGUGUCCGGAUAGCCGAACUAUCAUCAUUGACCGGACUCCAAGAUUAUGAAGAUACAUGAUUGAAGACUUCGUCCCGUGUCCGAAUGGGACUUUCCUUGGCGUGGAAGGCAAACUUGGCAAUACGGAUAUGUAGAUCUCCUACCAUUGUAAGCGACUCUG
RNA transcript from Triticum aestivum (bread wheat), 1003 nucleotides. RefSeq lists it as uncharacterized. Lineage: Eukaryota; Viridiplantae; Streptophyta; Magnoliopsida; Poales; Poaceae. The record is from RefSeq and is a predicted model, not a curated record. The transcript has 3 exons.